GGCUGGACGUCGGCCCCAUCUUCCGAGGCCUGCUGCACGUGCAGCACAUGGAUGGGAACAUGACAAUUAGCAUCAGGAACAAGAAAGAGGGCAACGGGUAACGAAUACACAACGAAACACACAAACGUGGCACAGAUGUGGCCCACCACUACCUGCCUACAUCAAACAAAUCUGCCGUACUCCGAUAGCCAUAUCGUAGUACGACAGCGUCUUGAUGCCCCACGUAAAACACAUAAGAGCCCCGACCCUCGCCCCCAUCUUACCUCCAUUCCCGGUUGGACGUUGGCCCCAUCUUCCGAGGCCUGCUGCACGUGCAGCACAUGGAUGGGAACAUGACAAUUAGGGCAGGCACGUCAAUGGCGGAGGCGAAACAUACACGCCCCCCUCCCCCAACCAGCCCCAGCCACCCUCCAUAGCAUCAGGAACAAGAAAGAGGGCAACGGGUAACGAUUCUACAACGAAACACACAACCGUGGCACAGAUGUGGCCCACCACUAUCUGCCUACAUCAAACAAAUCUGCCGUACUCCGAUAGCCAUAUCGGAGUACGACAGCAUUUUGAUGGCCCAUGAAAAACACAUAAGAGCCCCGACCCUCGCCCCCAUCUUACCUCCAUUCCCGGCUGGACGUUGGCCCCAUCUUCCGAGGCCUGCUGCACGUGCAGCACAUGGAUGGGAACAUGACAAUUAGGGCAGGCACGUCAAUGGCGGAGGCGAAACAUACACGCCCCCCUCCCCCAACCAGCCCCAGCCACCCUCCAUAGCAUCAGGAACAAGAAAGAGGGCAACAGGUAACGAUUCCACAACGAAACACACAACCGUGGCACAGAUGUGGCCCACCACUACCUGCCUACAUCAAACAAAUCUGCCGUACUCCGAUAGCCAUAUCAGAGUACGACAGCGUUUUGAUGCCCCACGUAAAACACAUAAGAGCCCCGACCCUCGCCCCCAUCUUACCUCCAUUCCCGGCUGGACGUCGGCCCCAUCUUCCGAGGCCUGCUGCACGUGCAGCACAUGGAUGGGAACAUGACAAUUAGCAUCAGGAACAAGAAAGAGGGCAACGGGUAACGAUUCCACAACGAAACACACAAACGUGGCACAGAUGUGGCCCACCACUACCUGCCUACAUCAAACAAAUCUGCCGUACUCCGAUAGCCAUAUCGUAGUACGACAGCGUCUUGAUGCCCCACGUAAAACACAUAAGAGCCCCGACCCUCGCCCCCAUCUUAC
This 1228-nucleotide long non-coding RNA is filed under the name Volvox carteri. Its description in RNAcentral is "long non-coding RNA (VCAR_LNC003921)". Lineage: Eukaryota; Viridiplantae; Chlorophyta; Chlorophyceae; Chlamydomonadales; Volvocaceae. The record is from RNAcentral.